GCGCAGCAGGCGCGAAAACUCCGCAAUGUGGGAAACCACGACGGGGGAGUUCCCAGUGCCAUCGCAUUUGCGAUGGCUGUUUUCCUGCCUAAAAAGCAGGGAGAGUAAGGGCUGGGUAAGUCGGGUGCCAGCCGCCGCGGUAAUACCCGCAGCCCGAGUGGUGCUCGUUAUUAUUGGGCCUAAAGCGUCCGUAGCCGGUUUUGUAAGUUUCUGGGUAAAUCCCACAGCUUAACUGCGGGAAUUCCAGAAAUACUGCAGAGCUAGGGGCCGGGAGACGCAGAAGGUACUCCUGGGGUAGGGGUGAAAUCCUAUAAUCCUAGGGGGACCACCAGUGGCGAAGGCGUUCUGCGAGAACGGGCUCGACGGUGAGGGACGAAAGCCAGGGGCGCAAACGGGAUUAGAUACCCCGGUAGUCC
This 416-nucleotide ribosomal RNA is filed under the name uncultured archaeon. RNAcentral's name for it is "partial 16S ribosomal RNA". It matches the Rfam family "Archaeal small subunit ribosomal RNA", at positions 330 to 747 of the family's 1478-position model. The record is from RNAcentral.